AGAUUUAGUUGUAUUUAAACAUUUUAGUGGUCACAACUUAUUCUUUCAUGUUUUGUUGAAAACCAUAUUCAUUACUAAAUCACGUUAGUUUUUAAUAAUCAGCUUAAGUGUGCUGUGCACAGAUCAUAUUACGAGGAAAUGAAGUAAAGAUA
Long non-coding RNA from Etheostoma spectabile (orangethroat darter), 152 nucleotides. RefSeq lists it as uncharacterized. The transcript is spliced from 3 exons. Lineage: Eukaryota; Metazoa; Chordata; Actinopteri; Perciformes; Percidae. The record is from RefSeq and is a predicted model, not a curated record.